AUGCAUCGAAAUGGAAACUUAAAAUUGUAUGAAAAAAGACAUCAAAACAUUUGUCAAAACAGUUCAAAUGUUCUACUAUUUCCCCCCCUAAAUGCCUUGUUCUUUCACUAUAAAAGUCAUCUUCAUGGACAGAAAAAUGUGAAGAAAAACUCAAGGAGAGGAAAAACAGAAAAAAGAUAG
Non-coding RNA from Vicia faba (fava bean), 180 nucleotides. The record is from the annotation of a GenBank genome assembly. NCBI's taxonomy places the organism in Eukaryota, Viridiplantae, Streptophyta, Magnoliopsida, Fabales, Fabaceae.